GCCUACGGGACGCAGCAGUGAGGAAUAUUGGUCAAUGGGCGCAAGCCUGAACCAGCCAAGUCGCGUGAGGGAUGACGGUCCUAUGGAUUGUAAACCUCUUUUGCCGGGGAGCAAGGCCCGCCACGUGUGGCGGGAAGGAGAGUACCCGAAGAAAAAGCAUCGGCUAACUCCGUGCCAGCAGCCGCGGUAAUACGGAGGAUGCGAGCGUUAUCCGGCUUUAUUGGGGUUAAAGGGUGCGUAGGCGGAAGGUUAAGUCAGCGGUCAAAUGUCGGGGCUCAACACCCGCCUGCCGGUGAAACUGGUCU
This 305-nucleotide ribosomal RNA is filed under the name uncultured bacterium. Its description in RNAcentral is "bacterial SSU rRNA". It matches the Rfam family "Bacterial small subunit ribosomal RNA", at positions 337 to 639 of the family's 1533-position model. The record is from RNAcentral.